CCACGCUGUAAACGAUGAAUACUAGGUGUCGGCUAGAGAUAGUCGGUGCCGGCGCAAACGCAAUAAGUAUUCCGCCUGGGGAGUACGCACGCAAGUGUAAAACUCAAAGGAAUUGACGGGGACCCGCACAAGCAGCGGAGCAUGUAGUUUAAUUCGAAGCAACGCGAAAAACCUUACCAGGUCUUGACAUCCGGAUGACCUUAGCUUAAUCGCUAACUCUCCUUUGGAGCAUCCGAGACAGGUGGUGCAUGGUUGU
RNAcentral lists this ribosomal RNA (256 nucleotides) under uncultured bacterium. RNAcentral describes it as "partial 16S ribosomal RNA". It matches the Rfam family "Bacterial small subunit ribosomal RNA", at positions 795 to 1052 of the family's 1533-position model. The record is from RNAcentral.